UACGUAGGGUGCAAGCGUUGUCCGGAAUUAUUGGGCGUAAAGAGCUCGUAGGCGGUCAGUCGCGUCUGCUGUGAAAACCCGGGGCUUAACCCCUGGCUUGCAGUGGAUACGGACAGACUAGAGGUAGGUAGGGGAGAAUGGAAUUCCCGGUGUAGCGGUGAAAUGCGCAGAUAUCGGGAGGAACACCGGUGGCGAAGGCGGUUCUCUGGGCC
Molecule: ribosomal RNA, 212 nt
Filed under: uncultured bacterium
Lineage: Bacteria
Description: partial 16S ribosomal RNA
Rfam family: Bacterial small subunit ribosomal RNA
Source: RNAcentral